This 253-nucleotide ribosomal RNA is filed under the name uncultured bacterium. Its description in RNAcentral is "partial 16S ribosomal RNA". It matches the Rfam family "Bacterial small subunit ribosomal RNA", at positions 524 to 776 of the family's 1533-position model. The record is from RNAcentral.
UACGGAGGAGGCAAGCGUUAUCCGGAAUUAUUGGGCGUAAAGCGUCCGUAGGUGGUUUAGUAAGUCUGCUGUUAAAGCGCGGGGCUUAACUCCGUAUCGGCAGUGGAAACUACUAGACUGGAGUGUGGUAGGGGUAGAGGGAAUUCCCAGUGUAGCGGUGAAAUGCGUAGAUAUUGGGAAGAACACCAGCGGCGAAAGCGCUCUACUGGGCCGCAACUGACACUCAUGGACGAAAGCUAGGGGAGCGAAAGGG